Molecule: non-coding RNA, 148 nt
Filed under: Nomascus leucogenys (northern white-cheeked gibbon)
Lineage: Eukaryota; Metazoa; Chordata; Mammalia; Primates; Hylobatidae
Source: Rfam by way of RNAcentral
GCUGGGCGUGGUGGCGUGUGCCUGUAAUCCCAGCUACUUGGGAGGCUGAGGCAGGAGAAUUGCUCGAACCCAGGAGGCGGAGGUUGCGGUGAGCUGAGAUCACAUCACUGCACUCCAGCCUGGGAGACAGAGCAAGACUCUGUCUCAA